Molecule: ribosomal RNA, 249 nt
Filed under: bacterium enrichment culture clone ALO1_GLFRUDD03HKKO5
Lineage: Bacteria
Description: partial 16S ribosomal RNA
Rfam family: Bacterial small subunit ribosomal RNA
Source: RNAcentral
GAGUUUGAUCGUGGCUCAGAUUGAACGCUGGCGGCAUGCCUUACACAUGCAAGUCAAACGGCAGCACGGGAGCUUGCUCCUGGUGGCGAGUGGCGAACGGGUGAGUAAUGCAUCGGAACGUAUCCUGGAGUGGGGGAUAACGUAGCGAAAGUUACGCUAAUACCGCAUAUUCUGUGAGCAGGAAAGCGGGGGACCUUCGGGCCUCGCGCUCUUGGAGCGGCCGAUGUCGGAUUAGCUAGUUGGUGAGGU